RNAcentral lists this ribosomal RNA (253 nucleotides) under uncultured bacterium. Its description in RNAcentral is "partial 16S ribosomal RNA". It matches the Rfam family "Bacterial small subunit ribosomal RNA", at positions 524 to 776 of the family's 1533-position model. The record is from RNAcentral.
UACGUAGGGGGCAAGCGUUGUCCGGAUUCAUUGGGCGUAAAGAGCGUGUAGGCGGCCAGGUAGGUCGGUUGUGAAAACUGGAGGCUCAACCUUCAGAGGUCGACCGAAACCAUCUGGCUAGAGUCCGGGAGAGGAGAGUGGAAUUCCUGGUGUAGCGGUGAAAUGCGCAGAUAUCAGGAAGAACACCCGUAGCGAAAGCGGCUCUCUGGAACGGUACUGACGCUGAGACGCGAAAGCGUGGGGAGCGAACAGG